AUACAAGAGUAAUGCUUAUAACUAAAAUAUAAAUAUUUUUUUUUCAAUUUUAACAGGAGAUAUGACGAUGUGUGAAGCGUUGUCUGAAGGCUGAUGAGGCUGGAGAACUGGAGGAUGAUGAGGAAGGGAAUGCAGACACAGGGGAAAGAGGCAAGCUGAGGCUGGAGAGGCAUUUCGAAGGAGACAAAGGCUGUAGUGCUAAAGAUGCAAAUAGGCUGGUAACUGAGACGAAUGUAAUCGAAAUCCCCCAAGAUCCAGAAUAUGGGAAGAUAACGGACAGACGAAAGUUUAUGCCAAUGAGGUAUUGUAAAUGUUGGGGUCUUCUUAUCCUUUCUUUAUUUAUAUUAUUAAAAUUUAAAAUGCUUUUGCAAAACAAAAGGGUUUAAGUAAUAAAAAUGUUGGGGACUUGUAAUCCUUUCUUAUUUAUUAAUAUUAUUACACCAUCCAUUGAUGCAUUGAGCUAAGACAAGUCGUGUUAUGCACGACUUCAGUAAUAUAUUUUAUUUCUAUAAAUAGGGCUGAAAUUCUAUUACAUUGAACCAAUAAAAAUAAUUUUAUUAUACCAUGAAUUGAUAACAAUGAAAAACUAUUAUUUAAACUUUCGUCAAGUGAGGUUUGCAAUCUCCCUGUCUGUCCAUCAAGCAUAGUCAAUGAUUAUAAUUAAAUUAUAAAAUGAAUUUAGAAAUUUAAAUUAGUAAAAAAUUAUCAUUAUCAUCAUAAUCACAUAAAUUAAUGGAUGAAUUUAAAAUAGGAUAAAUUUAUGAGGUUAUAUAGUGUACCUGUGUAAUAAGCAGAAGUAAUUUAAUUUUGAGUAUGGAUUGAAUAAACAAUUAAAAUGAAAUGAA
Long non-coding RNA from Nilaparvata lugens (brown planthopper), 845 nucleotides. RefSeq lists it as uncharacterized. The transcript is spliced from 2 exons. The record is from RefSeq and is a predicted model, not a curated record. NCBI's taxonomy places the organism in Eukaryota, Metazoa, Arthropoda, Insecta, Hemiptera, Delphacidae.